UUUGGUGAUUGGCUCAGCUGCCACUCUGGGGGGAACCUUCAGCCCUGAGCCUAAGAACCUUCCUGUUUGUCUGCAUAUGAUAUUACGAGUAAUUUUGCUUUUCUGCUUUUUUCCCUCCCUGGAGGAAAAAGAAAAGAUUUGCCUUUUUUUUUUUGAAGCUAGACAUGGAGGAUUUAAACACACAUACAGACGCCCUGAGUUAUUAAAGUUCCACAAGACAUGGCUUUGGUUUAUUCCAGAAAUCAGUUUUUAGGACCACUCUCUUGGUGCCUCUCCUCGCUGUUCUCCACUAGACCGUAACUCAAGAGCUGAAUCAAGCUCUGUUCAGCGGGUGUUUGGGAAAGAAACAGUGUCUGGAUGCUGGUCAGCUGGCUUGGGUUGUCAGCAGGCCAGCUUAGCACAUGUUUUUCUCCAGACGGGAGCCUCUGUAGGCCGAGGGGUGUUCAUCUGUCCCGUUUGAGCUCAGGAUAACAAGACCUCUGGUGCAGCUCCACGGUGGUAAACACCAAGGGCAGAGGUGUGAGAAAUGCUCAGUACCCCAGCAGCAGGCAACCCCCUGCUCCCGUGCCCUGCACAACCCAUCAGGCGGGCAAGCCAGAAGGAGAGCACCAAGAACUGUUGUUUCUGACUCACAGAUGUGAUAACUCCUACUGUCUCCUGGCCACAGUUGAUUAGUUUGGACACAUGUUGGCAGGAAGCCAUGGGUCAUUUUGCCUGCUGAAAUGACAGGGUAACUGAGAAGGGUGGCCUGGGAAGUCAGCCUGUCUGGCAUUCCCCUCCGUUUUUUGCAUUAGUGCAGAGCUGUCUGAAAGAUGGUUUGUUUGGUUUCUGCAGUUUGCUCAUGGGGCAAGACCCCUUUUGGUUUCUCUCACACCUGGUUUGAGCUGGGUUCUCUCCUGUGGGUGGGGUUCGCUAUAUAAGGAGGGCCUAGGAGAAUAGUAAUGCGCUUGAGCACUCCCAGCCUAUUCUGACCACAUCUCUCUCCAGCACUGCUCUUCCAGAGCUCUCCAGAGUGUCUCAGGUCAAGAGAAGACAGGUGGCCCUGUCUCUGCAUUAGCCCAUCACAGGCCCACUUGCUCAGUAUUCUUUGCUGUCACUCUCAGAUCAAUAUCUUGUUGCCAUUAUAGGGUUAGUGUGGGACAGCUGCCUGCUAAUUAAGCUCAUGUGGAUUAUCCCUUUAUUAUGUCUGCCAGUUUAGUACAUCAAUUUCAAAUCAAAUAUGAAGUGUUAAAUUACUAUUAGACUAACAGCUGAUGUGUUUUCUGUUGUGUGAUUUUCAUAGUAAUUGAUGCAUUUGGCCUAGUGACUUCAAUUGG
This 1316-nucleotide long non-coding RNA is filed under the name Mus musculus (house mouse). RNAcentral describes it as "long non-coding RNA chr12:71855432-71856748". Lineage: Eukaryota; Metazoa; Chordata; Mammalia; Rodentia; Muridae. The record is from RNAcentral.